CCUACGGGUGGCAGCAGUGAGGAAUAUUGGUCAAUGGACGAGAGUCUGAACCAGCCAAGUAGCGUGAAGGAUGACUGCCCUAUGGGUUGUAAACUUCUUUUAUAUGGGAAUAAAAUGUUCCACGUGUGGGAUUUUGUAUGUACCAUUUGAAUACGGAUCGGCUAACUCCGUGCCAGCAGCCGCGGUAAUACGGAGGAUCCGAGCGUUAUCCGGAUUUAUUGGGUUUAAAGGGAGCGUAGGUGGAUUGUUAAGUCAGUUGUGAAAGUUUGCGGCUCAACCGUAAAAUUGCAGUUGAAACUGGCAGUCUGGAGUACAGUAGAGGUAGGCGGAAUUCGUGGUGUAGCGGUGAAAUGCUUAGAUAUCACGAAGAACUCCGAUGGCGAAGGCAGCUCACUGGACUGCAACUGACACUGAGGCUCGAAAGUGUGGGUAUCAAACAGGAUUAGAUACCCCGGUAGUC
Molecule: ribosomal RNA, 460 nt
Filed under: uncultured bacterium
Lineage: Bacteria
Description: partial 16S ribosomal RNA
Rfam family: Bacterial small subunit ribosomal RNA
Source: RNAcentral